This 2903-nucleotide ribosomal RNA is filed under the name Pseudomonas amygdali pv. tabaci str. ATCC 11528. RNAcentral describes it as "bacterial LSU rRNA". It matches the Rfam family "Bacterial large subunit ribosomal RNA". The record is from RNAcentral. Lineage: Bacteria; Pseudomonadati; Pseudomonadota; Gammaproteobacteria; Pseudomonadales; Pseudomonadaceae.
GGUCAAGUGAAGAAGCGCAUACGGUGGAUGCCUUGGCAGUCAGAGGCGAUGAAAGACGUGGUAGCCUGCGAAAAGCUUCGGGGAGUCGGCAAACAGACUGUGAUCCGGAGAUGUCUGAAUGGGGGAACCCAGCCAUCAUAAGAUGGUUAUCUUGUACUGAAUACAUAGGUGCAAGAGGCGAACCAGGGGAACUGAAACAUCUAAGUACCCUGAGGAAAAGAAAUCAACCGAGAUUCCCUUAGUAGUGGCGAGCGAACGGGGACCAGCCCUUAAGUUGUAUUGAGAUUAGCGGAACGUUCUGGAAAGGACGGCCAUAGUGGGUGAUAGCCCUGUACGCGAAAAUCCCUUUGCAAUGAAAUCGAGUAGGACGGGGCACGAGAAACCUUGUCUGAAUAUGGGGGGACCAUCCUCCAAGGCUAAAUACUACUGACUGACCGAUAGUGAACCAGUACCGUGAGGGAAAGGCGAAAAGAACCGCGGAGAGCGGAGUGAAAUAGAUCCUGAAACCGUAUGCGUACAAGCAGUGGGAGCCCACUUUGUUGGGUGACUGCGUACCUUUUGUAUAAUGGGUCAGCGACUUAUUUUCAGUGGCGAGCUUAACCGAAUAGGGGAGGCGUAGCGAAAGCGAGUCUUAAUAGGGCGUCUAGUCGCUGGGAAUAGACCCGAAACCGGGCGAUCUAUCCAUGGGCAGGUUGAAGGUUGGGUAACACUAACUGGAGGACCGAACCGACUACCGUUGAAAAGUUAGCGGAUGACCUGUGGAUCGGAGUGAAAGGCUAAUCAAGCUCGGAGAUAGCUGGUUCUCCUCGAAAGCUAUUUAGGUAGCGCCUCAUGUAUCACUGUAGGGGGUAGAGCACUGUUUCGGCUAGGGGGUCAUCCCGACUUACCAAACCGAUGCAAACUCCGAAUACCUACAAGUGCCGAGCAUGGGAGACACACGGCGGGUGCUAACGUCCGUCGUGAAAAGGGAAACAACCCAGACCGUCAGCUAAGGUCCCAAAGUCAUGGUUAAGUGGGAAACGAUGUGGGAAGGCUUAGACAGCUAGGAGGUUGGCUUAGAAGCAGCCACCCUUUAAAGAAAGCGUAAUAGCUCACUAGUCGAGUCGGCCUGCGCGGAAGAUGUAACGGGGCUCAAACCAUGCACCGAAGCUACGGGUAUCAUCUUUUGAUGAUGCGGUAGAGGAGCGUUCUGUAAGCCUGUGAAGGUGAGUUGAGAAGCUUGCUGGAGGUAUCAGAAGUGCGAAUGCUGACAUGAGUAACGACAAUGGGUGUGAAAAACACCCACGCCGAAAGACCAAGGUUUCCUGCGCAACGUUAAUCGACGCAGGGUUAGUCGGUCCCUAAGGCGAGGCUGAAAAGCGUAGUCGAUGGAAAACAGGUUAAUAUUCCUGUACUUCUGGUUAUUGCGAUGGAGGGACGGAGAAGGCUAGGCCAGCCUGGCGUUGGUUGUCCAGGUUUAAGGUGGUAGGCUGAGAUCUUAGGUAAAUCCGGGAUCUCAAGGCCGAGAGCUGAUGACGAGUGUUCUUUAGAACACGAAGUGGUUGAUGCCAUGCUUCCAAGAAAAGCUUCUAAGCUUCAGGUAACCAGGAACCGUACCCCAAACCGACACAGGUGGUUGGGUAGAGAAUACCAAGGCGCUUGAGAGAACUCGGGUGAAGGAACUAGGCAAAAUGGCACCGUAACUUCGGGAGAAGGUGCGCCGGUGAGGGUGAAGCAUUUACUGCGUAAGCCCACGCCGGUCGAAGAUACCAGGCCGCUGCGACUGUUUAUUAAAAACACAGCACUCUGCAAACACGAAAGUGGACGUAUAGGGUGUGACGCCUGCCCGGUGCCGGAAGGUUAAUUGAUGGGGUUAGCGCAAGCGAAGCUCUUGAUCGAAGCCCCGGUAAACGGCGGCCGUAACUAUAACGGUCCUAAGGUAGCGAAAUUCCUUGUCGGGUAAGUUCCGACCUGCACGAAUGGCGUAACGAUGGCGGCGCUGUCUCCACCCGAGACUCAGUGAAAUUGAAAUCGCUGUGAAGAUGCAGUGUAUCCGCGGCUAGACGGAAAGACCCCGUGAACCUUUACUAUAGCUUUGCACUGGACUUUGAAUUUGCUUGUGUAGGAUAGGUGGGAGGCUUUGAAGCGUGGACGCCAGUCUGCGUGGAGCCAACCUUGAAAUACCACCCUGGCAACUUUGAGGUUCUAACUCAGGUCCGUUAUCCGGAUCGAGGACAGUGUAUGGUGGGUAGUUUGACUGGGGCGGUCUCCUCCUAAAGAGUAACGGAGGAGUACGAAGGUGCGCUCAGACCGGUCGGAAAUCGGUCGUAGAGUAUAAAGGCAAAAGCGCGCUUGACUGCGAGACAGACACGUCGAGCAGGUACGAAAGUAGGUCUUAGUGAUCCGGUGGUUCUGUAUGGAAGGGCCAUCGCUCAACGGAUAAAAGGUACUCCGGGGAUAACAGGCUGAUACCGCCCAAGAGUUCAUAUCGACGGCGGUGUUUGGCACCUCGAUGUCGGCUCAUCACAUCCUGGGGCUGAAGCCGGUCCCAAGGGUAUGGCUGUUCGCCAUUUAAAGUGGUACGCGAGCUGGGUUUAGAACGUCGUGAGACAGUUCGGUCCCUAUCUGCCGUGGACGUUUGAGAUUUGAGAGGGGCUGCUCCUAGUACGAGAGGACCGGAGUGGACGAACCUCUGGUGUUCCGGUUGUCACGCCAGUGGCAUUGCCGGGUAGCUAUGUUCGGAAAAGAUAACCGCUGAAAGCAUCUAAGCGGGAAACUUGCCUCAAGAUGAGAUCUCACUGGAACCUUGAGUUCCCUAAAGGGCCGUCGAAGACUACGACGUUGAUAGGUUGGGUGUGUAAGCGCUGUGAGGCGUUGAGCUAACCAAUACUAAUUGCCCGUGAGGCUUGACCAUAUAACACCCA